RNAcentral lists this non-coding RNA (148 nucleotides) under Nomascus leucogenys (northern white-cheeked gibbon). Lineage: Eukaryota; Metazoa; Chordata; Mammalia; Primates; Hylobatidae. The record is from Rfam by way of RNAcentral.
GCCGGGCACGGUGGCGGGUGCCUGUAAUCCCAGAUAUUCAGGAGGCUGGGACAGGAGAAUUGCCUGAACCCAGGAGGCAGAGGUUGCAGUGAGCUGAGACCCUGCCACUGCACUCUAGCCUGGGUGACAGAGCAAGAUUCUGUUUCAA